UAAACCAGGAUUAGAUACCCUAUUAUAUUUAAACAAAUUGGGUAGUAUCAUUAAUAAAAACCUUUAUACUUUGGCGGCAUUUUAUCUUAUUAGAGGAAUAUGUUCAUUAAUCGAAACCACACGAUAGUUUUUACUUACUAUAAAAUUUUAUAUACCCCCGUCUAAAGAAUUUAUUUAAAAUUUUUAUUCCAAAUUAUAUUAAAAAAAGUUAGGUAAAGGUGUAGACUAUUAGUAAGAUUAAAUGUAUUACAUUAAAAAAAAAUUUAAGGAUAAAACAGUUAACUGUUUAUUAAAAGAGGAUUUAUAAGUAAUUUACUUUUAAUAAAAAUUAAUGAAUAAGAAAAUAAAUGUGCACAUAUCGCCCGUCACUCUCACAUUAAACCAGGAUUA
RNAcentral lists this ribosomal RNA (390 nucleotides) under Sancus acoreensis. RNAcentral describes it as "partial 12S ribosomal RNA". The record is from RNAcentral. Lineage: Eukaryota; Metazoa; Arthropoda; Arachnida; Araneae; Tetragnathidae.